RNAcentral lists this transfer RNA (75 nucleotides) under Nanobdellota archaeon. RNAcentral's name for it is "tRNA-Ile". It matches the Rfam family "tRNA". From Rfam's summary of the family: Transfer RNA (tRNA) molecules are approximately 80 nucleotides in length. Their secondary structure includes four short double-helical elements and three loops (D, anti-codon, and T loops). Further hydrogen bonds mediate the characteristic L-shaped molecular structure. tRNAs have two regions of fundamental functional importance: the anti-codon, which is responsible for specific mRNA codon recognition, and the 3' end, to which the tRNAs corresponding amino acid is attached (by aminoacyl-tRNA synthetases). tRNAs cope with the degeneracy of the genetic code in two manners: having more than one tRNA (with a specific anti-codon) for a particular amino acid; and 'wobble' base-pairing, i.e. permitting non-standard base-pairing at the 3rd anti-codon position. The record is from RNAcentral. Lineage: Archaea; Nanobdellati; Nanobdellota.
GACCUGCUAGUUCAGCCCGGUUAGAAUGCUCGACUGAUAAUCGAGUGGUCCUGAGUUCAAAUCUCAGGCAGGUCA